CGCUGGGCGCCGUGCAAGGUUCCGGCGUGAACCCUGUCAGGGCCGGAAGGCAGCAGCAGUAAGCGAUUCGGGGUCUGUGCCGCGGAUUGUCUGGCGCGA
Molecule: signal recognition particle RNA, 99 nt
Filed under: Oscillospiraceae bacterium
Lineage: Bacteria; Bacillati; Bacillota; Clostridia; Eubacteriales; Oscillospiraceae
Description: signal recognition particle sRNA small type
Rfam family: Bacterial small signal recognition particle RNA
About the family: The signal recognition particle (SRP) is a universally conserved ribonucleoprotein involved in the co-translational targeting of proteins to membranes. Archaeal SRP consists of a 7S RNA and homologues of the eukaryotic SRP19 and SRP54 proteins.
Source: RNAcentral